This 253-nucleotide ribosomal RNA is filed under the name uncultured bacterium. Its description in RNAcentral is "partial 16S ribosomal RNA". It matches the Rfam family "Bacterial small subunit ribosomal RNA", at positions 524 to 776 of the family's 1533-position model. The record is from RNAcentral.
GACGUAGGGCGCGAGCGUUGUCCGGAUUUAUUGGGCGGAAAGAGCUCGUAGGCGGCUUGUCGCGUCGUUCGUGAAAACCUGUGGCUCAACUACAGGCUUGCGGUCGAUACGGGCAGGCUGGAGUUCGGUAGGGGAGACUGGAAUUCCUGGUGUAGCGGUGAAAUGCGCAGAUAUCAGGAAGAACACCUAUGGCGAAGGCAGCUCUCUGGGACGGUACUGACGCUGAGACGCGAAAGCGUGGGGAGCGAACAGG